This is a long non-coding RNA of Oncorhynchus tshawytscha (Chinook salmon), 1446 nucleotides long. Lineage: Eukaryota; Metazoa; Chordata; Actinopteri; Salmoniformes; Salmonidae. The record is from Ensembl.
GUUUACUGAUUCCAUGACAGUAAUGAGAGCAGGGUUUACUGAUUCCAUGACAGUAAUGAGAGCAGGGUUUACUGAUUCCCAUGACAGAUUGAGAGCAGGGUUUACUGAUUCCAUGACAGAUUGAGAGCAGGGUUUACUGAUUCCAUGACAGAUUGAGAGCAGGGUUUACUGAUUCCAUGACAGAUUGAGAGCAGGGUUUACUGAUUCCAUGACAGAUUGAGAGCAGGGUUUACUGAUUCCAUGACAGAUUGAGAGCAGGGUUUACUGAUUCCAUGACAGAUUGAGAGCAGGGUUUACUGAUUCCAUGACAUAAUGAGAGCAGGGUUUACUGAUUCCCAUGACAGAUUGAUAGCAGGGUUUACUGAUUCCAUGACAGAUUGAGAGCAGGGUUUACUGAUUCCAUGACAGAUUGAGAGCAGGGUUUACUGAUUCCAUGACAAUAAUGAGAGCAGGGUUUACUGAUUCCAUGACAAUAAUGAGAGCAGGGUUAACUGAUUACAUGACAGAUUGAGCCGACAGCAAUAACAACAUUGUUGAGAUUAGUAGUGACCAGGGCUCGUAGGAGUGCUGAUCUAGCAUCCGUUUUUGACUUUUAGAUCAUAAUGGUUAUAUGGACAGAUCCUAGAUCAAUACUCCUACUCUGAGGUCCUUUCUGGAUACAGACUGUGAUCUUAGCCAAACUGUGUUGGGUUGACAGUCGCUGGAUCGGGGUUCUAGUAGGAUCCCUAUGUUUGUUUACGUAAACUAUUCAUUGAUCAUUUAAAUUUGGUGAUCUAGUCAUUAGCUCUUGUUGCUGUUAUUUGUAAGGAUUUUACAGGGUAGGAUGAAGGUCUUUCAUUGGCCUGGACAUAACUACUGUCACGCAAUAUCUGAAUACUUGGUCAGAUGAAAUCAGGGAACGAGAUUUCUGGAUGAAUUUCUAUUUUAAUCCCUUCAUGACUAACAGGUUCAGACCCAUAUCAGGACUGACUUCACAGGAGUACUGUAGGUUAGCACUGUUGAUGAAUAUGAGGGUUUCAUCUCUCUUUAAAAAUAAUCAGUAUAUUCUCUGUUUCUUGUCUCUCUUUAUUGGGCUUUUAUUCAUUUCCAAAUGAUUCAUAAUUAAAGUUGGAUAAAUGAAUCAAGAAACAAGACCAAGACUUAAGCCCUUCUAUCUAUACAUGUUCAAAUUGUUUUAUCCUCCAAAUGUCUUUAUAUAAGUAGAUCCAUAGCCUACACAUGGUGUCUCCCAGUGAAUCAGGGGCUCCACCAGUUCCUAACCAGUCCUGUUGUAAACCAUAUCACCGCCCCUGUCAACCCUCCCAUGACAACACCUCCAAAACCACCUGUCAGAACCCCCAUCAACAACCCUGUCACUAUGGCGACGAAGAGCUCCAAUACGAUUCUCUGCCUGUCCUCCUUCCUCCACUGGUAUCUGUAGCGCUCCCUCUCCUCCACCUCAUUGGU